GAGUUGAGAAAAUCUGAGACAGCGCCCAGAGUUUAAUCCAGGAGAGCUGACAAGCUUAAAUCCAUCUUGCCCUCUGAUUUUGUGUGGCCUCAGAUAAGUACUCUUUCUGUCUCCACUUAUCCUUUUGUAGUAUUGAUGUAGUAAAGAUUUGCAAAGUGUUUGUGUAACUUUUUAAAGCAUUGUGCCUAAAAUAGAAGCAAAGUGAAUGGCACAGGAGCCAUAUUCUGUGUUUUCUUUUGAUCUAAGGUUCAUUGCUUCAGUUGAUAAAAAUUUGAAGUUUUAUGUCAUAUGCUUUUCUUUAACAUUGAGGCAACAUUCAGCUGAUUGCUGUAGAAUCCUUGCCCUCACUGAUCUCACGCUGUAGAAUGCAGACAAGUAAAUAGGCAUCAUCAGUAGUAUAAUGAGGGUAGACUGCUGAAUACUGUGAAGUCUCGUACGGGUGGAAUCCCCUACUCACCUGGGAGGAAUGGAAAGGGACUGGAGAAGCAAUUAGCUUUAAUAAGGAAAUUGGGGAAGGGCCUUCCAAACAGAGGAAGCAGUAAGUGCAAAGGUUAGAAGGCAAACUCCAGAGAGGUUGUUGGGUGAAGACCAUAAUGCUAUUUAGGAGAACCUAGAGAUGUUCCUGAAGAGAUCUAGUUGAAGGCCUUGAACGCCGUGUGCAGAAAUUAGCUUUUGAAAGCUAAGAGGAAGCCACUGAAAGAUUUUAAGUAGAAGCAGCAUGGAAUUGGAUUUGCAUUUUAGGCAGAUCACCAUUAUACAGAAAUCAGAGGCAUGGAAAACAGUUUGGAGAAAACAGUAAUCUGUGAGAGAGUAAUGACUUGGACUGAGAGAGUGGCAAAUAGGAGUGAAGAAUAGGACCAAAGUGGUUAUUGAGAGCUUGGUGAUUUGGUUGACUGAAUAAGGGAUGACUGAGAGGGAGAUGUCAAAGAUGACUCCCAAGUUUGUUGGGGGAGCAGCUGGGAGGGCGGUAAUGUCUUCGUUGAGAUUAGAAACAAGAGAAGAGGCAUACAUGUUAGGGAAGGAAGAAGGUUCUCUUUUGACCAUGUAGUAUUUGAAGUGCUUGUGAGCUAACCAAGCAGAUAUGUGUAGUAGGCAAUUAGGUAUUCAUUCAUUUAAGUUGUUUUAAGAACACUGGUCUGUUCUGCACACUGGAACAGAUUAAACAGCAACAAGAGCAGUAAGGUUCCUGCUCCUGUUUCUAGUGGAGGGAACAGACUAAACAAGUUUUACCAAAAAAAUGAGAAUAUUACAUAAUAUGUUCUGUGAAGAAACUAAAAGGGUAUUUGGAUAAAGCCUUUCUUUGGGGAAGAGAACAGGCACAUUUUUGGUUGUUGGUCAGAGAUGGCCUCACUGAGAAGGUAUUCACUAAGACCUAAAUGGGAAUGAGUUAAAAGCAGUAUUCAAGAUCAGAUGGACUAUCAGGGCAACACCUAAGGCGAGAGUUUGUUUUGUUUAGCAAGGAGGGCGUUGUGGAUAGUCUAGAGAGCAAAGAAGGGAAUGGUAGAAGAUGAAGUCUUGUAGCCUUGGUAAGUUUAAGUGCUCUAGAAGCCCCUGAAAGCUUUUAAGGAAUGGAGUAACAUGAAUAGUAGCAGGAGAGGUAAAAUGGAUGGAUUGAAGAUCUAUGUUGUGAUUAGGCCCAGCUUGUAUUGCUGAAGAAUCAAACAUGAGUGAGGGAAAGGGAGCAAUCAAGAAUGAUUCCUAGGUUUGGGGCAUGGUUGUCUAGGCCAGCAGUGUCCAAUGUAAAUAUAACACGAGCCACAUACGUAAUUUUAUAGUACUAACGUUUACAAAGUAAAAAACAAAAGUUGAAAUUAAUUUUAAUACUGUGUUUUAUUUAACUCAGUAUAUCCAAAAUAGUAUCAUUUCAAAUGUGAUGAAUAUUUAAAAGUAUUGGGCUAGCCCUGGUGGCCCAAUGGUUAAGUUCAGUGUGCUCCGCUUCAGUGGGCUGGGUUCAGUUCCCAGGCAUGGACCUACAGCACUGUCUGUCAGUGGCCGUGCUGUGGCGGCUCACAUUACAGAAAAAAAAGAGGAAGAUUGGCAACAGAUGUUAGCUCAGGGCGAAUCUUCCUCAGAAAAAAAAUAUAUAUAGAUUGAAAAGUAUUAAACAUUUUUAAAUGUUUUACAUUCUUUUUCUCAUUACUAAGUAAGUGUUUGAAAUGUGUGUAUUUUACACUUAGAGCAUAUCUCAAUACUUGAUUUCAUAAAAUUUACAAUUAAAAAGUAGAUUUCACAUACUCAGGUCUUUCCAAACAUAGUUAAAAGUUUUUCCAGUAAUUGAGUUAUGUAUCAGAUUUUUAAUUUAAUUUAAUUUUUUUUUAAGAUGUUAUUUUUCCUUUUUCUCCCAAAACCCCCUGCCCCCCAGUACAUAGUUGUGUAUUUUUAGUUGUGGGUCCUUCUAGUUGUGGCAUGUGGGACGCCACCUCAGCAUGGCUUGAUGAGCUGUGCCAUGUCUGCACCCAGGCUGGUGAAACAGGCGAAACCCUGGGCCACCGAAGCAGAGCGCGCAAACUUAACCACUCGGCCACAGGGCCAGCCCCUAUUUAAUUUUAAAUUAAAGUUAAGAUUAAAAUUUCAUUUGCUAAAUUAGCCAUAUUUCAAGUGGUCAAUAGCCACAUGUGACUGGUUGCUCCUAUAUUGGACAGUACACUCUAGUGGAAUAGAGUACUGGAAAAUUAGAUUUAAAAAGUUGUGUGAAACCAGGCUGUAAAGGAUUGGGAUUUUACCCUAGAGGCAAGGGAAGCAGAGGAUGGUUUUUGAAGCAGGAAGUGACACAACUUUGUGCUUGAGGCUAGAAAAAGGCCACUAGGUGGCCAACUGGUGACUCAGGAACAAGAGCAACCCUUCAGUUGAGUCCACACAUUUUAGGCUCUGACCUCAGCCCUUCAGAAUCAGAAGUCUGAUUUUUGUCAAUGCUCUAGAGCAGUGCCACAAAAAGUAUGGUCCACAGGCCAGUGCCAGUCUGCAUGCCCUUUGUUAUUGGUCCAUGGCAAGGUAUUUACAGAAAUUGAGAGUAAGAAUUUUAAGAGUUUUAUAGCAAUUUAACAUUAAUUUUAUGUCUGUGGAUCUAAGAAAAAUUUUGGUCUCAUUUGUUGUAUAUGUUUUUUUUAAUUUCCCUUUCCUAGUAAUUUAUUUUCAUAUUUUAUAAAAUUGUCUAUGAUCUUUCACCACAGAUAAUUUUUGAAGCACUGUUCUACAGGCACUCAGGUGAAGGCAGUCAGAGGGACCACAUUCUCAGAAGACUUACCUAAAUCCAAAGGCCUUUUCUCACUUUAUAGUUAGCACUAUAGUGACUAAGAGAAGAAUGGACUCUGCUCAGUUUCUCCCUCCAUAUAAAAAUGGAAGAGAGAAUACAUGAAGUUGACUGCAUUACUUCCAGAAGGUUCAUUAGUGAAUUUGAGACCAGAGUAAGGGGAGUUAGUGGUAUUCUAACAGCAUGAGUCAAAUGCAUUCAUUUCUGCAAUAGAACUAUGUCUGCUUUGCUCCUCUCUAGACUUUAUAGAUCACAAAUCAAUAAAAAAUAAAGGAUCUGGCCCCGUAGCGUAGUGGUUCAGUGUACACCACUUCAGAGGCCCGGGUUCGCAGGUUCGGAUCUCAGAUAUGGACCUACAUCAGCCAUGCUGUGGUGGUGACCCACAUAUAAAAUAGAGGAGGAUUGGCACAGAUGUUAGCUCAGGGCUAAUCUUCCUCAGGAAAAAAAAGAAACCCACAAUGAGAUACUUCUGUACGUGCACAAUAAUGGCAAAAAUGGAAAACAGAAAAUGCCACAUAUUGGGCAGGAGUUGAAACAACUGAAACUCUGCAUUGCUGGUGGGAAUGUAGAUUGGUAUAGCCACUUUGGAAAAUUUGAAGUUCAAAAAACAGGCAAACCAAACUAGAUUUAGGAACAUAAUGUUUAGGUAGUAAAAACUAUAAAGAAAAGAAAGGAAAUGGCUAGCUUUGGGUGAGGGAGUAAUGCUUAGACAGGUACAAGGGGACUUCUGGCAUGCUGUCCAUGUCUGUUUCUUGAGUAGGAAUUACAUGAGUUCACUUUGUGAUUCAAUGAGCUGUAGGUUUUGUGGUGGGUGUACUUUUCAGUAUGUGUUGUAUAUCUAAUGGUUUAAAAAAAUUUGCUGGAGUUAACAAGUUAGAAAAUAUGUCCCUGGGCAAUGCUGGAUAUACACUACCAACUACUACUUGCUAACUGAGCCCAUCUUUCUAUAUAUGCAUUACAAAUGUGAAAGAUAAGGUAGGCUUGAAUUCUAGGAGUGGCAAUGGUGAAGGAGAGGAGAGACAGAUGCACAAAAUACUGCAGAACCUGAGGCAGUAUGGGAAGGUGAAGGAGCAUGGCAGUUGGAGUGAGGAGCCCCAAGUUCAAGACUUAACUGGUUUUUAGUCCAGGCUCUAGUCACUCUCUAAGCAUAUGACCUGGCCUAUCUCCUAACUUACCUUAAUUUCAUUUUUCUCACCUGGAGGGUGGGGUUGAUAAAACUGACAAUCUUUCGUUUGUAACCUUUUGUAAGCUAUUGAAAUGCCAUAUAAAAUUUAUAUUGAUGUCUGAUUCAGUGUGAUGGGGAAGGAGUUAAGGAUGAUUGAGAUUUUGAGCCAGAGUGGAGAAGGUAAUGGUGGUAGCAUGAACGAAAUGAAAAAACCAAGAGGAGAAGCAGAUUUGGAGAAAUAUGACAUUCUAUUUUAUACAUGUUGAGUUUAAGAUCAUGCCAGAACAUCAAGAUGGAAUUAUGAAACAGACACAGAACUGAAGAUUUGGUGCUCUGAAAAAAAAGGUCAGAAAUGGUGAUAGGAAAUUAGAAGUUACCCACAUAAGGGUAAUAACUAAAGCCGGGAGAGUGAAUGAGAUCGUUGAGAGAGAACAUAGGAAAACUGAGUACUGAGGACAGAGAAGGAGAGAAGGAAAGGGAGAAGGAAAGGAAAUCAACAUUUACUGAGCCCCUGUUAAACUGUGUGCCAGCUGCUCUACGUUCGUUACCUCAUUUAUUCCCCUCAAAUUCCAGGGUGGCUGUUCUGACCUCGUGUAGCAGACUCUAGACUCACAGCAAGACAAAAAACCAGUGUUUGAAACCAGCUUGGCUCCAGUUUAUGCAGUGCCCUACUCCAUUCCUGGAGAACCAAGUGUCUCUUGCAGAAGCCCAGGGGGAGACUGUGAGUCAAGGAAAGAUAAGCCCUGAGAAAAGACCAUUGGAUUUUUGUGACCAAGGGGUUCCUGGAACAUGGGCAGCACCAAGUGCUUUGGAUCUGAAGGCUUGAGAGAGAGAUGGGAGUAACUCUCUGUGAUUCACAGUGACUUGCUGUUCUUGGCCGCUUGUUUCAUGUACUGCCUGGAACCGCCAUUAACUGCAACCAACGUUUUGUCUGUGCAGUUCCUGUGCAAUUUGGAAACCACGAACUCUUUAGGAAUGGCAGGACAUGCCAAGUUUGCAAUGUAAGGGAGCUUGGGACAACCGUCUACUCCCAAGCUGGUUCUAACAAUGGAGCUUUAAGAAUACUUAUAUAUAGUAUGGCAGCGUUUAACAAAAGACCAACCCUGAAAUGUGUGGAGGGAAGAGACCAGAUUCUACAAGCACUUGGAGUUAAAGCAAGACUUGAAUCCAAGAAAGGGUCCAUCCAUUGAGGCCUUAAGUGGGAUCUGGGUAUUUACACUCCCUUUAUUUCGCCUCACCCACCCAUCCACUCAAUUAAAAAGCACCAUCCUUAGGCAAAUCUAGACUCAACUAUGCUUAAAACUAUCCCUUGCUUAUUAGCCCACAGAGUGAGUCAUGUGAGACAGACUUGCAGCUCCAUGGUACACUUUCCCUGCCCCUGGAUUUCUGCAUCUCCAGGCCAGAGAAAGUUAACCCGACAGAGUUAAAGAGCACAAACUCCACUUUUAUCCACAGAGAUGUCCUUUGACCAGGCAAAAGCACAGAAUCAUUGAAGAAGCUAUACUAUGUUUGAUUCUGAAAAAAGAUUUGGUACUCAAGCCCAAAGAGAUGGAAAACUAGGAAAUGAGAAAUUGAGUUUCAAGUUAGAGAAAGAGAACACUUACAGAUUAUUUAAGGGCAUAAAUUCCAAAACGCCCCACCCCAACCUCCUGAGAAGGCUUUCAGUAGGAUGGGAAGCUGAGAGCUGCUUUUCCCGACCAGCUAACCCACCACUCCCUGCAACAGGCAAACAGUAGGCAAGGUAAUGUAUUAGUAAAACAUUGAAGCCCAAAGUCUUGGUGUAAAUUUAGAUUUUUAAUUUUUCACUUGUACUAAAAAUUGAUUUGUCUGCCCUUCUGCCAUCUGUACAAACAUUCAUGCAGCACCUAGAAGAAGGUACUUAGGUAUCCCUCUUCCCAUUAAACUCUUCAAAUGAAACUCAUUUUGCUUUCUUCUUCCAAGGUACCAUCUUUCUCCAUUAGUACAGGCUCAAAACUCUUCAUUUUUUGUUUAGUUUUUACUUCAUAAUCAUAAACUUAGCUCUGCAGUGCACCUGGAUUUGGAAGGGAAUAAGAACAUGGAACCCAAAGAGCUGCAGUGAGAGUACAAAGAUUAUAGGAUAUAGUGAGCAGAUGAGGGUGGUAGAUGCUCUCCUGAGCUGCAGAAGGAAUGAGCUAGAGGUUAAGAUAAAACGUGUCAAAUUUACUGGAGUUGUCCAUAGUCAGCAACAGUUAGCCUCUUGAUGGUCCUGCCAUUCCUGGACUAAAGCACUCCAUGGCUUCCUCUUCUGCCCUGCCAAAGACCACGUUUGCCAUCCAACUACUCAGUCUUGGCACUGCAGAUGAAAACAGUUCUGGGAACCAUUUGUGUUGGGUCCAGCGUUUGCAAUGAACAAGAAACUGGGACCACAUGCUUCGGGAUGAAACUCUCAUCAUCAAGUUUCUCCCUGCAGGUGGACUUGCUGCCGGUGCCAUUAUGGCAUGUGAAGUCACCACUCUGGAACAUAAACCCUGGAAUAAGUCUGUGACAGCAGGAAACUAUAACUAAAUCCUUUCUCCCCACUGCUCAAGAGCAUGAAAGUUUUCUGCUGCCUUUGGAACUGUGUCUGCAAACAGCUCAAAAGAGAUGGCCUGAGGGCUCGCCAUGGACAUCAAUGUCGGAAGAACACAGUGGGGUUGACCAUAGCUCGGUGGCACUGACAGCAGUGUCUGCAAAGCCAAACAUUCUUCAUUCUUUAAUCCAAAUUGCUUGUCCUCCCUGAAGAGAAAUCUAUUUUAUUUAUACCUUUAUCUCCACAAGCAAGGACUUUACCCUAAAUAAGACUUUAUCACUUUUCUUUCAGAUUAUUGAGUCUUGUUCUCUUUGAAUUUAACCUUCCCUUCCUGCCCCCAGACCAUCCUGCCUG
Molecule: long non-coding RNA, 7299 nt
Filed under: Equus caballus (horse)
Lineage: Eukaryota; Metazoa; Chordata; Mammalia; Perissodactyla; Equidae
Description: lncRNA (ENSECAG00000046044.1)
Source: RNAcentral